RNAcentral lists this long non-coding RNA (193 nucleotides) under Parus major (Great Tit). RNAcentral describes it as "lncRNA (ENSPMJG00000013205.1)". Lineage: Eukaryota; Metazoa; Chordata; Aves; Passeriformes; Paridae. The record is from RNAcentral.
UAUUUCUCUUAGUUUAUUCAUUUAACAAAAUGCUCCUUUCUGUGCCACAGAAGAGAGUGCCUAUAAGGCCUACACAGGUUCUUCAGUCUGCAAACCUCCCUUUGAGAACAUUUCUUUCAACUCACAUUGCUGGAGCUCCUAAAUAUCUUUCAAGGAAGACAGAGGUUUGCAUCCAGACAGGAUAGAGAUGUAG